Molecule: non-coding RNA, 637 nt
Organism: Camelina sativa (false flax)
Lineage: Eukaryota; Viridiplantae; Streptophyta; Magnoliopsida; Brassicales; Brassicaceae
Source: RefSeq, a predicted model, not a curated record
CGCUGCGUUUUGUCUUCUUUCGUCGGUUUGUCUUCGUUACUACGCUAAAGGGGUUGCUAACCGGAAGGAACGCCUGUCACAGUCGGCGGAGAAGUCGCCGGAGAUCGGAAUAAGCAGCGAUUCCGAGUAGCUCACAUCCAUACCAAGCAAUUUUGAGUAGAACAUUCCCCGGCUCGGAUCCUUUACUUGUUUGUCUGUGGCUCAAAUCUUGUCUUUACCAAGACGAGAUCGAAGGUACUGGAGGAGAGGAGGCCUCUUUGAUUGCCAUGGACAUAUUCAGAAUGCUGAGAUCAGAGACACGUUAUCUUCUGGUAGAACCACGAUUCUCAAAGAGCUAGAGAGCGUUGAUGCUAGCGGCGAGAAGCUAUACCCGAUGAUCCAAGAUGGUGUUGAUCCUGUCGAAGUUGAAUGCUUCAAAGAUUAUGUUAUGGAAUUGGGGACACAAGCUGAGUAUUUGUCUCAAGGGUUGGAUCAGUUACUGGAGGAAUUUGAUAGUUUCUUUAAACUGACUUUGAGCGGGCGUGAUGUGUUGCUCUGUAAUCUUAGGUCUAGUGACUCAAUCUCUGGCAAUGCAGUUGGAGAUGAUGUAUACAACUAAUACAGUGAGGUAUACAACUAAUGCAAAGUGUUUUCUAUU